CUCUCGUUAAGGAACUCGGCAAAAUGACCCCGUAACUUCGGGUGAUGGGGUGCUCUAUUAGGGUGCAAGCCCGAGAGUGCCGCAGUGAAUAGGCCCAGGCGACUGUUUAGCAUAAACACAGGUCUCUGCAAAACCGUAAGGUGACGUAUUGGGGCUGUCGCCUGCCCGGUGCUGGUAGGUUAAGAGGAGUGCUUAGCUUCGGCGAAGGAACGAAUUGAAGCCCCAGUAAACGGCGGCCGUAACUUUAACGGUCCUAAGG
RNAcentral lists this ribosomal RNA (259 nucleotides) under Listeria monocytogenes. Its description in RNAcentral is "partial 23S ribosomal RNA". It matches the Rfam family "Bacterial large subunit ribosomal RNA", at positions 1699 to 1956 of the family's 2925-position model. Lineage: Bacteria; Bacillati; Bacillota; Bacilli; Caryophanales; Listeriaceae. The record is from RNAcentral.